This 497-nucleotide ribosomal RNA is filed under the name uncultured bacterium. RNAcentral's name for it is "partial 16S ribosomal RNA". It matches the Rfam family "Bacterial small subunit ribosomal RNA", at positions 28 to 507 of the family's 1533-position model. The record is from RNAcentral.
GAUGAACGCUGGCGGCGUGCCUAAUACAUGCAAGUCGAGCGAACAGAUGAGGAGCUUGCUCCUCUGACGUUAGCGGCGGACGGGUGAGUAACACGUGGAUAACCUACCUAUAAGACUGGGAUAACUUCGGGAAACCGGAGCUAAUACCGUAUAAUAUAUUGAACCGCAGGGUUCAAUAGUGAAAGACGGUUUUGCUGGCACUUAUAGAUGGAUCUGCGCCGCAUUAGCUAGUUGGUAAGGUAACGGGUUACCAAGGCAACGAUGCGUAGCCGACCUGAGAGGGUGAUCGGCCACCCUGGAACUGAGACACGGUCAAGACUCCUACGGGAGGCCGCAGUAGGGAAUGUUCCGCAAUGGGCGAAAGCCUGACGGAGCAACGCCGCGUGAGUGAUGAAGGUCUUCGGAUCGUAAAACUCUGUUAUUAGGGAAGAACAAAUGUGUAAGUAACUAUGCACGUCUUGACGGUACCUAAUCAGAAAGCCACGGCUAACUACGUG